RNAcentral lists this microRNA precursor (105 nucleotides) under Marmota monax (woodchuck). Lineage: Eukaryota; Metazoa; Chordata; Mammalia; Rodentia; Sciuridae. The record is from RNAcentral.
UAACAUAUCUAUAAGAAGAUGCUGUUAAAAUACAGAUCCUGAUUCAACAGGUCUAGGUAGGUUCUUAUGUUCUGCAUUUCUAGCAAACUCCCAAUUGAUGCCAAU